This 62-nucleotide non-coding RNA is filed under the name uncultured Blautia sp. RNAcentral describes it as "Fluoride riboswitch". It matches the Rfam family "Fluoride riboswitch aptamer (crcB RNA motif)", at positions 10 to 57 of the family's 64-position model. Lineage: Bacteria; Bacillati; Bacillota; Clostridia; Lachnospirales; Lachnospiraceae. The record is from RNAcentral.
UACAGGGAAUGAAGUUCUCCCUGGGAUUAUCCCGAACCGCUUAAUGAGCUGAUGACUUCUGU